AGCGAACGCUGGCGGCAGGCCUAACACAUGCAAGUCGAACGAACUCUUCGGAGUUAGUGGCGGACGGGUGAGUAACACGUGGGAACGUGCCUUUUGGUUCGGAAUAACUCAGGGAAACUUGUGCUAAUACCGAAUGUGCCCUUCGGGGGAAAGAUUUAUCGCCAUUAGAGCGGCCCGCGUCUGAUUAGCUAGUUGGUGAGGUAACGGCCCACCAAGGCGACGAUCAGUAGCUGGUCUGAGAGGAUGACCAGCCACACUGGGACUGAGACACGGCCCAGACUCCUACGGGAGGCAGCAGUGGGGAAUCUUGCGAAAUGGGCGAAAGGCUGACGCAGCCAUGCCGCGUUAAUGAAGAAGGUCUUAGGAUUGUAAAAUUCUUUCACCGGGGAAGAUAAUGACGGUACCCGGAGAAGAAGCCCCGGCUAACCUCGUG
This 433-nucleotide ribosomal RNA is filed under the name uncultured bacterium. RNAcentral describes it as "partial 16S ribosomal RNA". It matches the Rfam family "Bacterial small subunit ribosomal RNA", at positions 29 to 507 of the family's 1533-position model. The record is from RNAcentral.